This 805-nucleotide ribosomal RNA is filed under the name uncultured organism. RNAcentral's name for it is "SSU rRNA". It matches the Rfam family "Bacterial small subunit ribosomal RNA", at positions 654 to 1470 of the family's 1533-position model. The record is from RNAcentral.
GAGGCAGGCGGAAUUCGUGGUGUAGCGGUGAAAUGCUUAGAUAUCACGAAAGAACUCCGAUUGCGAAGGCAGCCUGCUAAGCUGCAACUGACAUUGAGGCUCGAAAGUGUGGGUAUCAAACAGGAUUAGAGACCCUGGUAGUCCACACGGUAAACGAUGAAUACUCGCUGUUUGCGAUAUACGGCAAGCGGCCAAGCGAAAGCGUUAAGUAUUCCACCUGGGGAGUACGCCGGCAACGGUGAAACUCAAAGGAAUUGACGGGGGCCCGCACAAGCGGAGGAACAUGUGGUUUAAUUCGAUGAUACGCGAGGAACCUUACCCGGGCUUAAAUUGCACUCGAAUGAUCCGGAAACGGUUCAGCUAGCAAUAGCGAGUGUGAAGGUGCUGCAUGGUUGUCGUCAGCUCGUGCCGUGAGGUGUCGGCUUAAGUGCCAUAACGAGCGCAACCCUUGUUGUCAGUUACUAACAGGUGAUGCUGAGGACUCUGACAAGACUGCCAUCGUAAGAUGUGAGGAAGGUGGGGAUGACGCCAAAUCAGCACGGCCCUUACGUCCGGGGCUACACACGUGUUACAAUGGGGGGUACAGAGGGUCGCUACCACGCGAGUGGAUGCCAAUCCCUAAAACCCCUCUCAGUUCGGACUGGAGUCUGCAACCCGACUCCACGAAGCUGGAUUCGCUAGUAAUCGCGCAUCAGCCACGGCGCGGUGAAUACGUUCCCGGGCCUUGUACACACCGCCCGUCAAGCCAUGGGAGCCGGGGGUACCUGAAGUGCGUAACCGCGAGGAUCGCCCUAGGGUAAAACUG